Molecule: ribosomal RNA, 157 nt
Filed under: Bemisia tabaci
Lineage: Eukaryota; Metazoa; Arthropoda; Insecta; Hemiptera; Aleyrodidae
Description: partial 5.8S ribosomal RNA
Rfam family: 5.8S ribosomal RNA (bases 5-126)
About the family: 5.8S ribosomal RNA (5.8S rRNA) is a component of the large subunit of the eukaryotic ribosome. It is transcribed by RNA polymerase I as part of the 45S precursor that also contains 18S and 28S rRNA.
Source: RNAcentral
CCCGAACGGUGGAUCACUCGGCUCGCGGGUCGAUGAAGACCGCAGCGAACUGCGAGUCACAGUGUUAAAUGAUAUUUAUUGAACAGAUCAUCGACCGCCCCGCGCUUCCCCGAGGCCCCCGCGCCUUCACACUUCCGACCUCGGAUCAGGCGAGACU